RNAcentral lists this non-coding RNA (46 nucleotides) under Schistosoma margrebowiei. The record is from RNAcentral. Lineage: Eukaryota; Metazoa; Platyhelminthes; Trematoda; Strigeidida; Schistosomatidae.
GUCCAGCUGACGAGUCCCAAAUAAGACGAGACGCGUCAAACUGGAU